CAGGGAUCCUGGGGUUCAGAGGGUCAGGCACAGAGCCGGACUCACACCCAGCACUGGCACCUCCCCAGCCAGUGCCCUUCCUUCUGCGUGAGAAGUCGAAGGAACCAAACAGCAUCAUGACUCGUUUCUGAAAGAAGAAAGUCCCACUACCCUUUCUCAUGUGUGGUGAGGACAGGAAGCUAAGGUGAGAAGUAGGAGUUUGUACAAAGACAGUGGUGACUAAUGAGGGGUCCACCCAACCCAUACAGCCCUCUGCAAAGAUAGCCCAAGCCCCAGCAGGGGAUUCUGGCCCUCAGGCACAGAACACAAGAGAACCCAGACUUUGGACGGCAGGCAGUACCAGGGUGAAAGACUUUUCCAACCGACAUGGUCACGUAGCCAUUCUCCUUGAAGUACUGGGGGAUGGUAGAGAAGUUUCCAGCAUGUAUCCUCCAGUAGGAAUUGAAGUCAUACAGGCGGGUGGUGUCUGGUCUCCUCCCAGUGAGGAAGGAUACACGGCUCGGAGCACACACUGCUUGCUGUAAGGGAGCAGAAGCAGAGG
RNAcentral lists this long non-coding RNA (541 nucleotides) under Lynx pardinus (Iberian lynx). Lineage: Eukaryota; Metazoa; Chordata; Mammalia; Carnivora; Felidae. The record is from RNAcentral.